This 20-nucleotide microRNA is filed under the name Echinococcus granulosus. RNAcentral's name for it is "egr-miR-10259-5p". The record is from miRBase by way of RNAcentral. Lineage: Eukaryota; Metazoa; Platyhelminthes; Cestoda; Cyclophyllidea; Taeniidae.
AGGGCUAAAGUACAAGAGAG